UCCUACGGGAGGCAGCAGUGGGGAAUAUUGGACAAUGGGCGAAAGCCUGAUCCAGCCAUGCCGCGUGUGUGAAGAAGGUCUUCGGAUUGUAAAGCACUUUAAGUUGGGAGGAAGGGCAGUAAGCUAAUACCUUGCUGUUUUGACGUUACCGACAGAAUAAGCACCGGCUAACUUCGUGCCAGCAGCCGCGGUAAU
This 195-nucleotide ribosomal RNA is filed under the name uncultured bacterium. RNAcentral's name for it is "partial 16S ribosomal RNA". It matches the Rfam family "Bacterial small subunit ribosomal RNA", at positions 337 to 524 of the family's 1533-position model. The record is from RNAcentral.